Molecule: ribosomal RNA, 252 nt
Filed under: uncultured bacterium
Lineage: Bacteria
Description: partial 16S ribosomal RNA
Rfam family: Bacterial small subunit ribosomal RNA
Source: RNAcentral
UGCGGAGGAUGCGAGCGUUAUCCGGAUUUAUUGGGUUUAAAGGGUGCGCAGGCGGCACGGCAAGCCGGCGGUCAAAUCGCGGGGCUCAACCCCGCCCAGCCGUCGGAACUGCCGGGCUAGAGUGGGCGAGAAGUGUGCGGAAUGCGUGGUGUAGCGGUGAAAUGCAUAGAUAUCACGCAGAACUCCGAUUGCGAAGGCAGCGCACCGGCGCCCUACUGACGCUCAGGCACGAAAGCGUGGGUAUCGAACAGG